UAACAUUUGGCGACUGAUGCGUGGUGAAGUGAAGCUGAAUUUGUACACACUUGAGGCCGUGGCUGAAGCAGUGCUGAGACGUAAAUUUCCAUAUAUUCCUAACAAGGUAUUGACAAAUUGGUUUUCAAGCGGUCCUGAACGUGCAAGAUACAGAUGUAUAGAAUACUUUUUAGAGAGGACAAAGCUGAACCUUCAAAUCAUGAAUCAACUUGAUGUGGUAAAUCGAACAUCAGAG
This 235-nucleotide unclassified non-coding RNA is filed under the name Hevea brasiliensis (rubber tree). Lineage: Eukaryota; Viridiplantae; Streptophyta; Magnoliopsida; Malpighiales; Euphorbiaceae. The record is from RNAcentral.